This 497-nucleotide ribosomal RNA is filed under the name uncultured bacterium. RNAcentral's name for it is "partial 16S ribosomal RNA". It matches the Rfam family "Bacterial small subunit ribosomal RNA", at positions 28 to 507 of the family's 1533-position model. The record is from RNAcentral.
GAUGAACGCUGGCGGCGUGCCUAAUACAUGCAAGUCGAGCGAACAGACGAGGAGCUUGCUCCUCUGACGUUAGCGGCGGACGGGUGAGUAACACGUGGAUAACCUACCUAUAAGACUGGGAUAACUUCGGGAAACCGGAGCUAAUACCGGAUAAUAUAUUGAACCGCGUGGUUCAAUAGUGAAAGACGGUUUUGCUGUCACUUAUAGAUGGAUCCGCGCCGCAUUAGCUAGUUGGUAAGGUAACGGCUUACCAAGGCAACGAUGCGUAGCCGACCUGAGAGGGUGGUCGGCCACACUGGAACUGAGACACGGUCCAGACUCCUACGGGAGGCAGCAGUAGGGAAUCUUCCGCAAUGGGCGAAAGCCUGACGGAGCAACGCCGCGUGAGUGAUGAAGGUCUUCGGAUCGUAAAACUCUGUUAUUAGGGAAGAACAAAUGUGUAAGUAACUAUGCACGUCUUGACGGUACCUAAUCAGAAAGCCACGGCUAACUACGUG